ACGGAAGGCAGCAGUGGGGAAUAUUGCACAAUGGGCGAAAGCCUGAUGCAGCGACGCCGCGUGAGUGAAGAAGUAUCUCGGUAUGUAAAGCUCUAUCAGCAGGGAAGAAAAUGACGGUACCUGACUAAGAAGCCCCGGCUAACUACGUGCCAGCAGCCGCGGUAAUACGUAGGGGGCAAGCGUUAUCCGGAUUUACUGGGUGUAAAGGGAGCGUAGACGGUUUGGCAAGUCUGAAGUGAAAUGCGGGGGCUCAACUCCUGAACUGCUUUGGAAACUGUCGAACUAGAGUGCAGGAGAGGUAAGUGGAAUUCCUAGUGUAGCGGUGAAAUGCGUAAAUAUUAGGAGGAACACCAGUGGCGAAGGCGGCUUACUGGACUGUAACUGACGUUGAGGCUCGAAAGCGUGGGGAGCAAACAGGAUUAGAUACCCUGGUA
Molecule: ribosomal RNA, 434 nt
Filed under: uncultured Lachnospiraceae bacterium
Lineage: Bacteria; Bacillati; Bacillota; Clostridia; Lachnospirales; Lachnospiraceae
Description: partial 16S ribosomal RNA
Rfam family: Bacterial small subunit ribosomal RNA
Source: RNAcentral